RNAcentral lists this transfer RNA (76 nucleotides) under Lacunisphaera sp. RNAcentral describes it as "tRNA-Ile". It matches the Rfam family "tRNA". Rfam says of the family: Transfer RNA (tRNA) molecules are approximately 80 nucleotides in length. The record is from RNAcentral. Lineage: Bacteria; Pseudomonadati; Verrucomicrobiota; Opitutia; Opitutales; Opitutaceae.
GGGCCUAUAGCUCAAUGGUCAGAGCAGGGGACUCAUAAUCCCUUGGUUCUCGGUUCGAAUCCGAGUGGGCCCACCA